This 465-nucleotide ribosomal RNA is filed under the name uncultured bacterium. Its description in RNAcentral is "bacterial SSU rRNA". It matches the Rfam family "Bacterial small subunit ribosomal RNA", at positions 329 to 792 of the family's 1533-position model. The record is from RNAcentral.
GGCCAGACUCCUACGGGAGGCAGCAGUGAGGAAUAUUGGUCAAUGGCCGAGAGGCUGAACCAGCCAAGUCGCGUGAGGGAAGACGGCCCUACGGGUUGUAAACCUCUUUUGUCGGGGAGCAAAGAGAGUCACGUGUGACUCAUUGAGAGUACCCGAAGAAAAAGCAUCGGCUAACUCCGUGCCAGCAGCCGCGGUAAUACGGAGGAUGCGAGCGUUCUCCGUUUUUAUUGGGUUUAAAGGGGGCGCAGGCGGAUUUUGAAGUCAGCGGUAAAAUCGGGGGCCACAACCCCAUCCGGCCGUUGAAACGGGGGAUCUAGAGUGUGCGAGAGGUAUGCGGAAUGCGUGGUGUAGCGGUGAAAUGCAUAGAUAUCACGCAGAACCCCGAUUGCGAAGGCAGCAUACCGGUGCACAACUGACGCUCAGGCACGAAAGCGUGGGUAUCGAACAGGAUUAGAUACCCGAGUA